UUUCUUCUCAAAAACAAAUCUCAAACUAUAAUGAAAGUCUCAGAGGCACUGGAAUAUUCCCUUCCUGAGACCUCCAAGUUCAUAUUAUCCUCUUGGGGGCAGAUAAGACUUCCUUUCUUCCAGCAUUCAAGGGUCCCUCAAGGGCUAGCUUGAAUUUUAGAAGUGUGAUUUAAGAAAAGUAGUGUUGGAAUAAUCAAACUGAUAUUGAUGAGGAGUUGUAAAUAGUUUCUUUAAAAGCAAUGGACUUUGUAUUUUUUUUCUGUGUAUUUUUGUUUCCCUAGGUUUGCUGUAACAAAGUACCACAGAUGGAGUAGCGCAAAAAUCACAGAAAUUAUUAUUUCUCAAUUAUGGAGGCUGAAAGACUGAAAUCAAGAUUUUAUGUUGCUGAGCAAUCCUGAAUCACAAACCUGUCAAAGAGGAAGCUGUUUGUGUUUGGGGUUCAGCACACUGUUUGGUAAGAAGAUGCAGCACCAACCCUCAGCUCUUGCCUUUCAUCACUUGAGGGCUGCUCCUGAGGUGACAACUCCCUGGCACUUCUGUCUGCAGAACUUCACAUGUGAGAAUACAUUCCAGCAGCAGGAUGAGAGGAUUUUCCUACAGCACAGAAGUUCUUGGAGCUCCACUGGAUUUGCAAAUGUACCAAGAAGGGCACGUCUUGUUGUGCCUGUUUUUGAACUUUCAAAUCUUAUGUCUCAAAAUGCUGGUUGCUGGUGGAUGGGGUCUUUUGCAGGUAGAUGUGACUCAGGAAAGGGGAAAUGAGCAAGGGAGGAGAGAGACACAAGGAGUUCCACACACUGGGGAAAGGUCCCCACUGUGUUUUGUAUUUGUGUUUUAAAUUUUGGGAGUGACUCAUAGGCAUUUAGCAAAAGUAAUUGAUUAAAUUAACCUUAUCAGUACUGAGGUUUCCUGGCCUCUCUCAUCAGAUACUUGGCUCACAGGCUGGUGGGUAUUUAAUUGGUGACUGGUGAAGAGUGUGGGUGAGUCCCACCUUCACAAGUGUGACAGUUCACCAUCCUUGCUCUAUCACAUCCAGACGUUAUUAAAAUCAAGACAUGGUCCCCUGA
Molecule: long non-coding RNA, 1064 nt
Organism: Marmota monax (woodchuck)
Lineage: Eukaryota; Metazoa; Chordata; Mammalia; Rodentia; Sciuridae
Exons: 4
Source: RefSeq, a predicted model, not a curated record